Molecule: long non-coding RNA, 418 nt
Filed under: Fukomys damarensis (Damara mole-rat)
Lineage: Eukaryota; Metazoa; Chordata; Mammalia; Rodentia; Bathyergidae
Description: lncRNA (ENSFDAG00000023159.1)
Source: RNAcentral
CAGUACUUUCUGUGAUUUAAUCUUUUUUUUCAGGUAUGGGGAUCAAACUCAGGACCUUGUGCUUGCCAGGAAGGAGUGGUGCCAUUGAGCUACAUCUCCAGCUCUAUAAUCUUUUAAAAUUAAAUGAUCCCAGCAAGAAACCCACAUGGACCAGAAUUGUGUGGGUGUGAGAAGGUUCCAGCUAGGGCCCUGCUCAGCCAGCAGCCCACAGGCAACAGGUCAAAAGCCUGCCUGGAAAAGAGCUAUGCAGGCAGCAAUCAACAGCUAGAGGCCCACCCAGAUACAUUCGAAUGCAACUGGAUGUUCUCUCCAAGGCUUUCCUCUAAUUGCAGUUAGACCUGGGAAGUUAUCUUUUCCAAUGCCAACGAAUAACUUGUGAUGUAAAUGGUCACCCGACUAGCAUUUUCUUCUGUAGAAC